This is a long non-coding RNA of Morone saxatilis (striped sea-bass), 714 nucleotides long. RefSeq lists it as uncharacterized. The record is from RefSeq and is a predicted model, not a curated record. NCBI's taxonomy places the organism in Eukaryota, Metazoa, Chordata, Actinopteri, Moronidae. The transcript has 2 exons.
CGAACAGCGUUUCUCCCAUGGCUGCUUACCGGAUUCCGGUUGUAUGUUGUUUAUAUUGUUAUUAUUAAAUAUAUUGGGAAUGAAUAAACUAAUGCAUGUAGGUUUAAUAUUAAUGGCAAACAGGAAGCCGUUGUUGCCUCGAAGCGUCACGCAGCCAAUCUCCUAAAAAGUUCAAAUGUUAAAUUGGGAAAACAGAAAGAGCUGUAAGUCUGUCAGCAAACAGAAAGCCUCAGAACGACUGAGGCGUCAAAUAAAGAGGGCCCAUUGCCCAUCCAGCAGCACCAUGCUCCUCCUGCUUUGGCCAUCACUGCUCCCUGGCUGCAAGAUCCUCUCAUCAGUGUGACUCUGCAAACCUGAGCUCAAGACAUUCCUUGACAUUUGUCUGCAACAAGCGCACAACCCCGCAGUAUAUUAGAUGAUGAGAUUUACAAAGACACAAUAGAAGAGAGGGUGAAAACUGAGCCUUUUUUCUUGAUCAUACGUGCAUACAAUAAGUAUUUUAAUUCAACACUAAACGUUCAAACACUAAACAACAAGUAUGUGUUAGUUGUUAAUGUUUUGUGAUGCUUAUCCAGAAUAAAAGAUAAUGAAUUUGUGAGGCAAGGACAUUUAUUAUUUGUGUUACUGUGACUGGUAAGAAAUCCACUGCUCAGGAUGUAAAAUUAAGAUUGUACAUCAUUUAAAAAAAUAAAUAAAAGAAAGAAAUUAAACAUU